GCGAGUAUGGCCCUCACGGGUCUAUCCACUAUAAAACACAUUUGUGAACCAUUCAGGGCGGUUGAGCGGUGAAAGCUUAGGCGAUUAGCAGCGAGGCCUCCCCUUGUAAAACACGUUUUGAAGUCUUGAAAGUCUAGUUGAAUAAUUAAUAA
RNAcentral lists this unclassified non-coding RNA (152 nucleotides) under soil metagenome. Its description in RNAcentral is "partial internal transcribed spacer 1". The record is from RNAcentral.